Molecule: long non-coding RNA, 1171 nt
Organism: Carassius gibelio (silver crucian carp)
Lineage: Eukaryota; Metazoa; Chordata; Actinopteri; Cypriniformes; Cyprinidae
Exons: 3
Source: RefSeq, a predicted model, not a curated record
AGACAGGCCAUGCACCUCAAAACCACAAGAGUGCAUCUGUGGUUUGUCCCAGCUCUGCUUGCAUUCAGGGCAGCAAUAAAAGACAAACCGAUCCGAUGACUCCCUUAAGGACAAAAUAUGAAUGAUUAAAACAAGGAAUGGAUCCAGGAAAAGGCAAAUCGGACAUCAGAGUGUGUCUUCAACAUAUUCAACUGCUAACCAGCACGUAAAGAAUGGAUGCUUCACAAGGACAACCUGAUUAGUCACCGUAGACACCAGAUCCAGUCUGUAUCCAGAUCAGAGGGUCACUGCAGUCACCCGGAUCCAGUACAUAUCCAGACCAGAUGGUGGAUCAGCACCUAGAAAGGACCUCUACAUCCCUGAAAGACAGCGGAGACCAGGACAACUAGAGCCCCAGAUACAGAUCCCUUGUAAAGACCUUGUCUCAGACGACCACCAGGACAAGACCACAGGAAACAGAUGAUUCUUCUGCACAAUCUGACUUUGCUGCAGCCUGGAAUUGAACUACUGGUUUCGUCUGGUCAGAGGAGACCUGGCCCCCCUACUGAGCCUGGUUUCUCGCAAGGUUUUUUUUCUCCAUUCUGUCACCGAUGGAGUUUCGGUUCCUUGCCGCUGUCACCUCUGGCUUGCUUAGUUGGGGUCACUUCAUCUACAGCGAUAUCGUUGACUUGAUUGCAAAUAAAAACAGACACUAUUUCAACUGAACAGAGAUGAUAUCACUGAAUUCAAUGAUGAACUGCCUUUAACUAUCAUUUUGCAUUAUUGACUCACUGUUUUCCCAAUAAAUGUUGUUCUGUUGCUUUGACGCAAUGUAUUUUGUUUAAAGCGAUAUAUAAAUAAAGGUGACUUGACACACACAACACAUACACAGACAGAGAAAAUAUAAGAGAAAUCAAAAAGAAUCCAAAGAAUCAAAGUGCGAUCUAGAUAGAUGAGAGCCAUAGGGCAGUCUGUUUGCUAUAAUUGCAGAUAAAUUAAAUGUUCCAUAAAAUCACUCUGAUAUUGGCCUCGAGUAGAAUUUAUGUGACUAUAGAAAAGAGAUGAGAGCAGUACUGAAGGAACAGUCUCACAGUCUAGACUGUUUGAAUAAAUUCUGCAGUUUUGCUGUCCUCACCUUACAGUGUGUCCUACCCAGGUGUAAUAAGAUUCCACCAACUAGCAAUUUGUCUGU